GAGCGGAGGCUGUUGUGAUCCUGAACUCAAAGUCAUCCCUCUCCCCACAGUGUCCCUGGGAGUCUCACCCUCCUAACAUGCUACCUCCUGCUUCCUCAUCACCAGAUGGCUGGUUCUCUCAUCCAGUGUGGAGGAGGUGCCUGGGAAGGUGGUUCCCCACUGCAGCGCACGUCCUGAUGGAGGUGAUGAAUUCCAUCUGUGCCACUCCCCUCCCACAGCUGAUCAGGUUCAGCGGCGAUGGGGGGGGUGGCAGCAAGUUUGACUCCCAUCUUCUCAGGUGGCUGCUUCACCCACAAUGCACUGUCCACCCAGCCAGCUCCCCGUCAAGCAAACCUCCUUCCCAUUGCAGCUUGCCCAUCCAUAAAAAGAUGCCUGAACUGGUUGUGUUCCCAAAUCCCUUCCUGCUCUAUGCUCCUGAGUUGACAACUGCAUACACAAGUGGGGCUGCUGUGAGAAUAGCUGCAUGCCUUUCAGUCCCAAAUGAAGCAGAGCUCAGCAGACUCCUGAAGAAAAGCAGGCCACUGUGUGGAUCAUGCAAAAAAGAUAAACAGAGAGAUGGAAACUGUUGACAAGGAGAGUAGAGAAAGGAAGACUCAGCAAAGCUUAAAAUUGGAUAAAAUACGAAGAGGUUGGAAGAAAGAGCCCUGAGAACAAGAAAGCGGAGGAGGAAGUAAGAAAUAUGGACAAGGAGGAACUAAAAUUCUGCAGAGCCGCUGAACUCUAGACUAAACCUGAUAGAAAGUAACAUUUCUUUGUUGCAGAUCUGCUAGGGGCCGCUGCUGUUGGGUUGCAACAGGAGUGCGCCCCCUGAUGUGGUGGACAGUGAUAGAUUGAAUGGUGCCAGCUGGAUCCUGCCUGGCACAUGGAUGCUGGGGUGGCUGCAGUGCAGAGCAGAAUAAGUGCAGGAACAGAUGGCUGAGGUGCAUUUAGUAUCUGUAACACAUUCAGUCCCUUUGAGACGCAUCCUUGGGACACAUUUUGUUUCCUCCCUCAGUUGGUAAAGCAAGAUAUUUUAAUAUUCUUAAUUAUCCCCUUCCAGAUAGUGUGUUUUUUAUAAAGACAAGAUGAAGCAGGGACUAGGGAAGGGCUUAUGGGUCGGUUGCUGCUGAGCCGGGAGGGCCAAAGGGAAAGGCAAACCACACUCCGUUGUUCUUUAGAUGGAGCCAGAGGACUCCACAGGGAGGUGUCAAGCCUCAUGACUGCCUUAUAUAAAUAUUGUAAGGAUUGAUCUGAUCAUGUUGGCAAACUGCUCUGAACUCCUGAGAGAAAGAGAGCUACAAAGCUAUGGUUUUAUUAUUCAUAACAUGAUGUGUGCUUACUGUUGGGAAAAGAUGCAAACUGCCUGCAGGUUGUAAUUUUACUCUCCCCGCUCCUUCUGGAUUGGGGACCAACAGCUUAGGUUUUUAUGCUUGAAAAAGAAGUCCCUUCAUCACAAUGACUCCCAUACAUCAGAAUAGAAUGAGAGCAGAGGAAGUCCGACAACUGCAACUCUUUUACCCCAGUGAGAUUUGCCCUAGUG
This 1519-nucleotide long non-coding RNA is filed under the name Fukomys damarensis (Damara mole-rat). RNAcentral describes it as "lncRNA (ENSFDAG00000023744.1)". The record is from RNAcentral. Lineage: Eukaryota; Metazoa; Chordata; Mammalia; Rodentia; Bathyergidae.